RNAcentral lists this ribosomal RNA (640 nucleotides) under uncultured bacterium. RNAcentral's name for it is "bacterial SSU rRNA". It matches the Rfam family "Bacterial small subunit ribosomal RNA", at positions 223 to 863 of the family's 1533-position model. The record is from RNAcentral.
AGAUGGGCAUGCGUGACAUUAGUUAGUUGGUGAGGUAACGGCUCACCAAGACCACGAUGUCUAGGGGUUCUGAGAGGAUUAUCCCCCACACUGGUACUGAGACACGGACCAGACUCCUACGGGAGGCAGCAGUGAGGAAUAUUGGUCAAUGGUCGCAAGACUGAACCAGCCAUGCCGCGUGCAGGAUGAAUGUUCUAUGAAUUGUAAACUGCUUUUCUAAGGGAAGAAACCUAUCCUCGUGAGGGUAGUUGCCGGUACCUUGGGAAUAAGCAUCGGCUAACUCCGUGCCAGCAGCCGCGGUAAUACGGAGGAUGCAAGCGUUAUCCGGAUUCAUUGGGUUUAAAGGGUGCGUAGGCGGAUUAAUAAGUCAGUGGUGAAAUCUUGCGGCUCAACCGUAACAUUGCCAUUGAUACUGUUAGUCUUGAAUGCAGUUGAGGUAGGCGGAAUGUGUAAUGUAGCGGUGAAAUGCUUAGAUAUUACACAGAACACCGAUUGCGAAGGCAGCUUGCUAAACUGUGAUUGACGCUGAUGCACGAAAGCGUGGGGAUCAAACAGGAUUAGAUACCCUGGUAGUCCACGCUGUAAACGAUGAUUACUCGUUGUUUGCGAUAUAUUGCAAGCGACUGAGCGAAAGCAUUAA